This 11563-nucleotide long non-coding RNA is filed under the name Marmota monax (woodchuck). Lineage: Eukaryota; Metazoa; Chordata; Mammalia; Rodentia; Sciuridae. The record is from RNAcentral.
AGAAAAUUAGAGAUGAUCUGAGCAACUCUUUAUUGUGCAGGUGACAAAAAAUGAAGGUGGGGGAGGGGUUAGUUUUAUUCAUUUCCAUAUCAGAGUUGGCAAUUGAAGAAUGCAAUGGAAACCAAGGUAAAAAAGGCAGGGGUGUAUGUUAUAUACAUACAACAUUGUAAAUAGAUGCAUUUUGAGAUGCGGGUCCGGUCUUGCAGAAGUUAGAGAACAACUUAAGAUCAGUCCAAACCAGGUUUCAUUUCCAUGAAUACAUGGAGUUAAGACUAACAGAACCUGGCUUAGCACUUAGCUGAUCCUCUUUCCUACCCAAAUUCCUUCUAACCACAGACAACAUGACCUGUUGUUAGAAACCACCCUUCACAGAUCUGUGUCUUUCCUUCUUAGCUAGAGAGUCUGUUGGCAGUCAGUGCAGGAUCACAAUAACCCACAAACUUCUAUCCUUCUUCUGUUUCCAUGCACUCCCUUGCUUUCUCUCUGUUUUAAUUGCCUGAAUUUUAGAGCCUGUGAUAAGAACUUAGGGAUAAUGUCACACAGUUCAGGAAUCCCUCCACUGAUUGUGGGCUGUGCCCUACCAGUGACGAUAGCAGGAUUUGGUCCAUUAGGAGAACAUGAAUUUCUCAGUACCGCCAGACCCUCAUGAGAAUAUUAUGCUGUGUACACUUCUACAAGCUGGUUGGAUUUCACAUCCUUCUGCAGUGUACCACCCAAUCUCAAGCAAGGUCUCUGUCUAAGUGUGCUUUGUUGUUCUAUGUGACCAAAAUUUAGGAUUUCCAAAUCCAAAGUAGAAACUCACACUUUUCUUUUCCAUUCUGUGUGAUUUAAAAGAUUUAGUUUCCCUUUAAUUGCAAAAGAACAUGGUGAACAAAUAUGGAACAAAAAAUUUUUUUGUAAUCCUUUUAUACAUUUAAAAAUGUUCUACAGUGAAAAUAUGUUUGGGGAUUAGGAAAAAAUGUUUUAAAAGUCUUAUCAGGUAUAGUGGAAAUCGUCGGGCUUUGUGACAAUGUGUUUUUGUCAUAAAUCAUACUGAAUUUGGGGACUCCCCUUUUGAAUUAAGAGCAACUCCCUCAUGCAGAAAGUGGAGGUUCUGAAGGACUGAGACGCCCCUUCCCCCGCAUGAGCAGGCCCCAAGGAAACUGACCACAGAGCUCGCCCACUUCCCAGGCCUGUCUAGCCCAGACUAACUUAAUCUGCACCUGUGUAUUUUCUGCCUCUGUUUUUUCCCCCUCUUCAGGCCUAAAAGAGAAGGUGGGGGUCCUUUAGGACCCUGUGGGUGGUGUCAACAUUGGGUUUCCUUUUCUCUUGUGUUUUGCUCUGUGUGACUAACCAAAAUGCUCUUUGUUCUGUGUUCCAGAGUCAGAGACAUCCCUGCCACGCAGCUCACAGAUUUAUAACUCUGGCCAAAGGUUUCAAGGAGUACAGAUUUCUUCAAUCCAAAGUUCAUCUGUGUGUUCUCAGAAAUUAAAACAGUGCAUUUCUCCCUGCUGCUUUUUUGCCCCAGGAGCCCAGGAAGCAAGCAGGUGGAGUUCUCCAAGGACGUCUUACAGCUCUGGUGAUAAUGACUAACUCAAACAGGCUGGCGCUGCCUGGGGACUCUUAUGGGCUCUUGCUAUCGCUUUCUUUUUUCAAACUCAGAUAGUGUCAGCACAGACACAGGCAAUCCAGAUAGAGGACUGUGUCUGUUACAAUGUUUACAAGUUGGUGUCAGUGGAAAGAUCAUAACCCCAAGAUUUGAUGAAAACAUGCUUCUUGCCCAGACAAUUCAUGAUAAUGGUGCAACUGGAAAGUUCUUUUCAGAGAAAGAAUGAGUUAGAAAGAAACCAAGAGGGGCGGGCAGGGACAAGUGCUGGCACUAGGUCUUCCCAGACUUGCAACAUGAAGGAAUAUCACAAAAUUUCUGAUUUCAUAUCCACGAUGUUAAGUAAACUGGAAUCUUCAAUGGCUUCAUUACCCUGUCUUUUCUACCGCUCUUCCCAUGAGGACAGGCAACAGGGAAGGUGGGUGAAUGUCUUCAGGACCUACAGCUGUCACUGAGUAAUUUGCUUCUUAGCACCUUACAUAAAAAUGCCUGAAAAAAACAGAUAUCUCUCACCAGGGUGCCCAACAGGAGGAAUGUGGUUUGGAUAUCUGAAGUCCACUUGACAACACUAUUUGAAAAGCAUUUCACUGGAAGCCAAAAGAAUGAUGCUAAAUCCACUCUAGUGAGCAAUUUGGUGUAGAACACCCAUUUUGUAGUCCAGCCCCAAACUAGUAGAACACAUUGUCACAGUACAGUCUGAGGUACCAUAGGGUCAUGAGGCAGAGUCCAGGAAUGGGGUUGACCUUUGAAUUAUCUCAACUGGGAAGGAGUCAGUUGGCCUAUGGAAUACCUGAAAAUGAAACGCUGCUCCUCAGAGAUGGGAAACUGGCCUACCCACCAAACUGUGAUGAGAAAUUCUUGAUAAUGGAAAACCACAGUAAUGACAAUAAGUCUCAGUUCUUGAGAAGUUCACUGUCUAGUGGGGAAGCUGAUAAAAACUAACAACCCUAAAAAAUAAUAAGUGCUAUCAUAAGGGUAUGUCCAAGAGCUCUCAGAAGUUCCAAUCUAGUCAGACAGGGUCAGGGAAGACCACCACUAUAUCUGGUUAUAAAAAAUUGAAGUAAAACUGACUUAUCCUGUCUUGAAGUUGAAGCUGUCUUCCCAAUAAAUCACACUCUUCUUAAAACCAUUCCAAAGGACUUAGCUCUUCUCAUAAAAACUCUAGGUAUCUACCUGAAUCCUCAGAGAACAGAAGAAGGUUUAGAAAUGGCUUAAUGCUUAAACACAGAUUGGUGUCUUUGUUCUGUAAUUUUCAUUGUAUUUUACGAGUUACAACAUGAUAAUUCAUUGUAGGUAUACAAUUUGUAAUUAUCAAAUUAGGGUAAUUAACAUUCCCAUCUCUUUAAACAAUCACCAUUUUUGUCGGUAACAUCAAACUCCUUUCUUUUAGUUCUUUAUAAGAUUAUUAAAAAAUUGUUGUCAACUAUAGGGUGUCACUUUUUUUUUUUUUUUGCCUAUGGUUCACUGCCUUGUCUGUUGAAUGAAUAUUUUUCUUUAAGAAGCCAGUUCUUUUCUGCCUUCCAAACUGAGCACCUGCUUGUCUUCAUAUUUUUCUAUGAGAUCUCCAUCUAACUAAACUUUUCCUUCAUGAGAUAUUAUUUCUUCCAGAAGACAAAAGCAUAAUUGCUUUAAAAAAUUUGUUUGGUUUACAUUAGGUAAGAUUUUACUUCACUUGAUGUUGACUGUCUUCCCCUUCCUGCUGUCUACACAGUUCAAGGUCUCCUGAACACCAGUGCUCAAGGGGCCUGAACCUGAGCGUUACAACCAAAAACCUAGGAAUUUAUUCCCUGGAAAGCUGUCUUGAGUUGAGGAGCUUAGAAUUAGAGAAUGGGCUCUAUCACCUGGUAAACAUUAGCAUGAAGAGCAUAGGCCCUCAAAGUAGACGAUAUCUCCUAGUACUCUGAUGAUGUCAGUAGCUUAUUUCAUUUUAUCACCAAAUAAUUUUCCAUUGUUAUAAGUCUACCAGGUUUUGUUGAUUGGCAUCUGGGUCAUUCCCACUUUUUGGCUAAUAUUAAUAAUGCUGCUACAAACAUUUGUGUACAAGUGUUUGUGUGUAUAUAAAUUUUCAUUUAUGUUUCUGGGUAGACAGCUAGGAGUGAAAUUUCUGGGUCAUAUGGUAAUUGUAUGUUUACCUCUUAAGAAUUGAGAGAAAAGAGACAAAAAUGAGAACUCUCUCCAAGAAAAUGUUAAAGACUGACAGUAAAAGGAAAUCAUGAUUAGAACUGAAAGGGGCUGUCUCCAGCCAGGCUGGUUUAAUUCUGAUAAUCUGGAUAUAAUCUGAAUACAAGGAAGACUUCCUAGACAGUCUUUAGAAAACAAAACUGCAAGUAAACACUCCUUUUAGUCAUAGCAUCCUAAGAUUUUUUUUUCUUAUUCAGACAGGAAGGUAGGCAUAUUUUCUAGUCUUUUAAGUUAUUUUUACAUGACAGGUCUCUGAAGCAUUUAGGGGGAAAUGGCAUGGAUAUCACUGCCUACAGUCAAAUCUGGAUCUUGUAAAGCUAUUCUCUCCAAUAUAACGACCACUAGUUGUAUGCAGCUUUUAAAAUUCAAUUAAUUAAAAGAAAAUUUAAAAUUCCAUUCUCAGUUGCACUAGCCAUAUUUCAUGUGCCCAAUAAACAUAUAUUUUUUGUGGCUACAGUAUUGAACAGUGCAGAUGAGAAUAUUUCCUUUAUCAUAGCAACUUCUAUCAGACAGCAUUGUUUUAGGUACCAUAUUCUGGGUUCACAGCAAGAAUAGUGGCAAAUAUCCCACAAUGCAUGGGACACUCUUUACAACAAUUGACCAUUCCCAAAUAUCAACAGUGUGAAGUUUGAGAAAUGCUGUCCUAAAACAAUGAUGUCCAAGUUGGAUCAGCUUUGAUCAGAAGAUCAAAAGAAUCAACUGAACAGGUUUUUAAAACCCAUAUGCCUCCAUCCUACCUCAAAGAGUCUGGUUAAGGAAUAUGAAGAAAACUUAGGGGUUUGAGUAUUCAGAAACUUUCCAAGUGAUUUUUAUGACUGGCUAGAUUCAAGAACUAUUGUGGUAAAGUGAACUGACUCUUAGCUCUCAACUCAGAGGAAAAUCACCUGGUAAACAUUAGCAGCACUCCCAGAAUAAGUUAAUGACUCCAAGGCCAUUACCUCGUCUGUUUAAUUUCUCCAAUUACCUAUCUCUCAAUUAAUAGGGUCAUUAAGCACUUAAGACUUGCAUUAAUUUCGCUCCUCUCUUUCAAUUCUUUCAUUCUGCAUAAAUCUAGUUUGCAAAUGAUUACAUCUUGUUAAAUAUUGUACCCUCUCUGUUUACAAACAGAGCAAAUGACCUGGAAAACGUUUGGCAGCUGUCUUUGUUCAUUGGUGUUUAGUGGGAAAUAGCUGAGCAAACAGAAACACCAGCCCUGUAGGUGGCAUGGCGAAAACAGAGUACAGUCCAUUCAUUUGUUACCAAAGUAGCUUAAGAGAGGUAAAUGGAAUUAGUUUUAAAUGUCUUGAAGUUGCAUACAUUAAGGUCAAUAUACAAUUCUCCUCAACUUAAAAGAGUGUUUAAAUGAACUAAUUUUAGAUUCUUUGUUUCUUUCCACUAUUACUCUGCAAUAAAUUUCAAAAAGGGAAUAUAUACCUUACUCUCAAGAUACUUACAAGUUACUAUUCUAUAGUAACAGGAAGAAGAGAUACAAGUCCCUAUAAGAACAUCUAUUGAACAUUUGAAGAGGAGAUAAAAAAUUGAGAGGAAGAGAUCCUUCUUCUGGGGGAGAUCUGGAAAUUUUCAUGAAGAUAGCAGGGUCUUUAGCUUCCUCUUCAUUCAUCCAGUAAAUGCUUGCUGGUGCCAACCUCAUGCCAGAUCCACCAUACCAGGAGCUGGGGUAAGUUGACACAAUCCUCUGCUUAUGGAAUUUGACUUCCUGGAGGCUGUCAGUCAGUUAACAAUUAUUUAUUGUCUACCUACUAUGUGCCAAGCUUACAGACAGGCAAUUAUGAUUCAAAAUGAUAAAUGUGAAGCUAGGGGGGAGGACAUGGUCCAAUUAAUUCCUGACUAGGUUUUUAUUACAUUGAUGCUUUUCUAAACACAGACAUUUCAUUUGCAAGGACAGGAUCACAGGGCACUCACUCACUCUUAGCAAUAAUUAAUCAUGCUAUGGAACUUAACAGCAGGCAUUGUCUGGUGGACACUAGUCUUAACUCUGGCCUUCUCUGAGAAACAAUAAAGAAUCAUAACUCAGAAUCUACUGACAUAAUUCUCCACUCAUUAGUACCUCUGGAAAAGUUUUCUGAUAGAUCUAACAUGUAUUGACUCUUAUCUGUAAAUCUAGUAGCUAUGUCAAUGGUGAGAUUAUCCAGGAAUGUAAUCACAAUAUAGUGUACUUUGUUAUGUGAAGUUUAUAAUAAUAUUGGACUUUAAUUGACCUUACAUGGCAGGAUUUAAUCAACACUCAAUUUAAAUUAUGAAACAUUUAAAACACAUCAAAGUGCAGAAGAUAGAUACCUACAGAUAAUAUGAUGCCUACUCACCAUAGUACUAAGGCAGUAUUUUGCUAUUUUGUCUUUAGCUCUUCAUCUCUAUCAUUUUCUAAUGAAAUAAAACAUUAACAAAAUAGUUUAAAUCCUCCUUCAUGUCCCCAAACAAACCCUAUUCUUUAGGCUUCCUUCUUCCCAGAGGAAACUAGUACCUUGAAGUUGGUAAACUGGCAUCCAAACUUUCCCCACAACUCUACUUUCUCCUGAAACUGUGAUUUGACUUCAACACUUUGUAAACUUCUACAUUCUAUCAUCAGUUCUAAGAUGAAGUUCAAACUCCAUAAUCAUCAUGUUCUGCCCUCUGUAAUCUUUCUCUGCUACUUCUCAGCUCUCUGAACAAGCCUCUCAAUUUAUCCUGGUGCACAAUUGAGCUUAUUUUAGUUUUCUAGGCAUCCUGUGCUAUUUCUCUUGUGCUGCCUUUGGUUUGUAUUAUCCUGACCUGCAUCUAUGUCCUCUGUCUUUGCCUGGCCUAAUAUUCCUCAUCCUUAAAGGCUCAAUUCAGUCUCAGUCACUUCCUCUAGAAACUUCCAGUCCUAAUUUCUGUGCCUUCAAUAGUAAUAGUGUAUUGUUGGAAAAAUCGGUUUUGAAUAUCUGCACUUCUCACCAGGCAGAACUUCUUAAGAAAGUUCCUAAUACUUGUUUGCUUUGUAUACUCAUAGGACCUUACAUAUUUCUAGGUACAUUCAUAAUUUAUACAUGUUUGCUACAAGAGUAAAUGAAACAAUAAAUUGGGAGGUAGAUUGCAAGAACUCUGAAGGGUCUGAGAUUUUAACAUAUUGGGACUUAACAAGUCAGCUUGCCACUAUGUCACAGAUACUGACAGAAGCCAGGAGGCUGAAAACUCAUUUACAGCAAAAGCAGGAAGUAGGUUGUCAGUGGUUGCAUGGGUUCCUUAGCUCCUCCGUGUCAUGACACGGGUGUCCUAGACAUGCACUGCACACGUGUUGGAUGUGUUUCAGGAGAGGGACACUAAGCGGAGGAAAUGUCCCUCCUUACAGUAAUCUUGAUCUAGAAGAAAAGGUUAUUACAGUGUUCAAGGUUGCUCACUGCAAACACAACCUUGAGAAAUGUCCCAGAGAAGGAAUGAUCUGGGUCUUGAAUUCUUGAAGUAGGACCUGCAGGAGCUUCAGAGGCCCAUGGAGUAGUGUUUCCCAGCAGCAGAGAGAACAGCUAGCUGCAGGCACGACUUUCACUGUUAUGGUGAACAAAACAACAAGAACAACAACAAAAAACAGACAUAAGAACUUUCACAUUUUAACUUGCUCAGGGCUAACGUUUCCUUCUGUAACCUCUACCAUGGAAACUUACAACAAAAAUCUUAAAGACAUUGAUAAAAGUUAGCCAGGCACAGUGGUGCACAUCUGUAAUCCCAGCAGCUCAGGAGGCUAAGGCAGGAAGAUCACAAGCUCAAAGCCAGCCUCAUCAACUUAGUGAGGUUCUAAAAAAACUUAGCGAGAUCCUGUCUCAAAAUUUAAAAAUAUAUUUAUUUUGGGGAUGGGGAUGUGGCUCAGUGACUAGGUGCCCCUGGGUCUAAUCCCUGGUACUGUGCCCCCCCCUCCAAAAAAAAAAAAAAGAUUGCAGUAAAAGUUAAAGCAUUUAAGAAGUUAGAAAAUGUGUAACAUGCAGUAUGUUUUACAGAAAUCCUAGCUAAAAAUGUCUAAAAUAAAGAUUUGGUUCUUAAGACAGACAAUAAGGUUCAGAAAAUGAGAAAGUUGAGUCAAAUGGAACUAUUCAAUUCUUGACAAUGGUGGACACAGAUGAUUAAAAUGAUUAUAAUUACUUGUGAGAUUUAAGGUAAUGAUCUACUGCCAGAGUAGAUGUGUAUCUGUAUUACUAAAAACUUUAUUUUCACAUAUUUGCCAGAUGCCCAUGGUAUCAUUUUUGGGGCUACUUAUUAUUGUACUUCAAGUAAGUUAUAUAUUAUAUCUAGUUUACCUUGACAUUUGUAGAAUAUGUUGAGAAUAUCAUUUAAAGUACCAUCUCUCCUGUUUCAUCAUCAAUAAGAAGACUCAAAAUGGGCUGUGUCUUACAUUUUUUUGCCUUCUUAAAUGUUUUAUCUUUUACUGGAUACUUCAAGGUCUUCAUUAUGAGUUUUGGGGUCCCACUAUUGCGUGGGUAACAUAUUAAUGACUAUUUUGUACUUAAAGUAAUCCUUGGUGACAGGGACCAGAGCUCUAAUGCACAUGUACCAAUAACAUGUAUUAUUUAUUACAUUUCAACUUCCAACUUCUAAAAUAAUUCUUCCCUACAAAGACCACAGUGACUUUCAAGUGAGAUUUUAAGUUCUGAUUUAAAUUAAUCUUUAAAAAUGUUUACUUGUGUUUUGUCUUUUUUACCUCUGUUUCCCCACUACUCUCUAAGUCACAUAACUCAUAGGAAAUAUUUAACCAAUGUCCACUUGACAAAGGUACCAAUUUUAUAAAUCCUGACUGGUGAAUAAAAUUAACUCACUUUCUAUAUGUUUUCAGAAAAAGAGUUUGCUUCCUGCGUAUGUGGGAUCACCAUGAUGAGAAGAUGAACACUUCCAUCUCAUGCCUGAGGUAAUUCAUCUGGAUGCCAUUUAUGGUUGGGUUGCUUCCCAAAUAUUGAAGAAGAUAUCUAAGGAAGCCCCACCUGUAAAACAAAUUGAAUGACAACGAAGUGAGGAGAGUGAUCAGAGAAAGAGAGAGAUGAGGGUGGAACAUAAAAGGGCCAGCAUAAAAAAACCCCGAAUGUUCCAGGGGGAAUAUUUGUUGGUCUGGGAAGCAACUGCUGAAGCAAAGCACUACAAAUGGUGACAUGGGAAAGGGCAUCGGGAUGUGCAGAGGCAAAGAGGAGGCUGGAGGCCAGGGCUGAGGCCAUAUGGUUUAGACACAGUUGGGAAAGAACUUUCCAGGGGACAUGUGCCAGAAAAUGACACAAGGGAAGGCAGACUGGAACUUAGGGAUAAAGGGACAAAGUUGAGGUGGAAGGCAGUGAGCGUGGAGUUGGUUGCUGACUGAGGGAGGGCUGUGUAGAGAAGGAGAUGGAGCUCGGAUGGCAGAAUGAAGUCUGGUUCUUGUAGAGGGAAAGAACUGGGACUCCCAGUAGAGGAUGGGAGGAGAAAAUCUGGGUGUGUGGGAUGUUUGAGCCUCUGGCUGUCUAGGAAGGAGGCCAUGCUGAACCAGGACCAGGACUCUGGAACCAGGAAAGAGAUUUCAGUGACACAGAAACAAGUUUUGCCUUUCCAUAAACCAUGUAAAAUUGUCCUGGAUACUACAUAUGGUCAUGUGUCUACCACAUUAUGUGAAAUCAUGUCAAUAAUCUUAUUUUUAAACAGUCAUGGACUAAUCUAUUAUAUGGUCCCAAACUCUUUUUGUUAGAUCUGUGGAAUGUUUCUAGUGUAUGUUAUUAUAAUUAUGCUGCACUGGUUGUCUACAUGGCUAAAAUCUUUGCUUGAAGUCAGAAUAAUUUCCUUAAGAGAAAUUACUAGGCGUGUGAGAAGGGCGUGGGGAAGGGGAAGCCAGAACAAAGGGUGGAAACAAUGCAGAGACUGCAGAGAUGUACUUUUCAAUUUGCCCCAAUUAACACUCUGCCAUAAAGGUAUGAUGGUAUCUGCUUCCCCAUGUCUUCAUUGCAUAUGACACAUUUCCAUCAGUUUUAUUUCCCAGUGUUUCCCUCUACCCUCUCCUCCUGCCUUCUCUUAUCCCCUUUCUUUACCCUCAUGGCCUGUCUUUUAUUUUCAUGACAUCCCUUUUUUCUUUUUACUUUUUUACCCCUAGAUUUCACAUAUAAAGGAAACCAUGUAACACUUGUCAAAAUUUUUGAAUCUGACUUAUUUUGCUUAACAUGGUGCGCUCAAGUUCCACCCAUUUUCCUGCAAAUGGCAUAAUUUCAUUCUACUUUAUGGCUGGAUAAAAUUCCAUUGUGUAUGCAGACCACAUUUUCAUUACCCAUUCAUCUGUCAAGGGACACCUUGGCUACUGUGCUGAUAUUAAUUCUUUUGGGUCCAUACCAAGGAGUGGUAGAGCUGAAUCAUAACCCACAAACUCAUUAAUACUGGACAGUUUUUUGAAAGAAAAAUGAUGAAUUUGAAUUGCAUGAUAAAUAGAAAAGGGAUCCUCCUUUAAGAAGUGACAGGUCCAUUCCAGAUACCCAGACAUCUAGAGUCAGGGGCAUCACUACCUCAGUGCUGCCCUCUGGUGGUACCUAAAAAUGACAAAACAAAGUCAAGUCCUAAAGAGACUGAACACUUCAGUGUUAAUUUAUUUAGGGCUAGAGUUCUAGAAAGUGGGGUGUAAAAAAACAAAGAAAAAAUGUCUUUCUCUGAGAUAUUGGAGGAUAUGAGAACUACAGAAAGAUAUUUUUACCCACAGUUAGAGAAUGUGACAUGUGGUGAGCCGCUUCUGCCGUUUCUGCAGACUAUGGUCGCCAUUACAAGAUGGCGCUGGCUCCGCUGUGGUCUGUGACAAACAACUCCUUAUUUGGGAGAGUUGGCGCAUGGUUUUUCACCACCCUAUGAGAAAGCUCCACGUGGCAGCUUCGCAUUGGGGCUUGAGAUGCUUUAUUAAGGCUGGGAGGGGCAUCCGAGAGGGGAGAAGAAGAAAUAUCAAGGGCCUGAAUAAACUGCUGAAAGAAGAUUCCUGAGUUGCGUCUUCCUUGCGGGCAAGGGGUCACGACAAGUGGUGCCGAAACCCGGGAACCAGAACUUUCAGCAGUCAGGGGUGGUGCACCGGUUAGUCCCAGGUAAGUGGGAUCCGCGACCAAAGCGGGGUUAGUCCCAAUAAGUGGGAUCCGCGAUCAAAGCGGGGUUAGUCCCAGGUAAGUGGGAUCCGCGACCAAAGCGGGGCAGCUCCUCUGUAAAGAAAGAGAGAGCAUUACAUUUUAUUGCAGCUGCACUGUGUACUUUCGCUUCUACUUUCGCUUUUGUUUUCUGUGUUUCUUUUGUUGUGUCAUUUCGCUUUUGUUUUUUGUGCUUCUUUUGUUGUUGUGUCAUGGGUGCCGCAUCUUCAAGUCCGCUUCUCCUGGCCCUAGAUGGCCUGUUACGUUCCAAGGGCCUGGAAGUGAAACAUAGUACUUUACAGAGAUUUUUACAGAAGAUAGAUAUCGCUGCACCGUGGUUUGCAUUUUCGGGCAGCCUUACUGUACCUAGUUGGGAUAAAUUAGGCAAAGAUCUUGACUUUGCUUCUGAGCAGGGCAUAUUAGAGGGUGGGGUGAUACCCCUUUGGAAAAUGGUCCGUAGUUGCCUUACAGAUGGCAGAUGUCAGGAAGCACUUACUAAAGGACAGGAAGUUCUAGAGCAAUUACAUGAGGAGAAAUCGGAGACGGCAGGAAGUGAGGUGCCUCAGGAGGAUGGGAGUGUGCGGAGCGUGAAACAGGGGAGGAGACGAUUGUAUCCAGAUCUCAGUGCGCUGCGCACACCCCCAUGUGAAAGUGGGUCAGAGGAAGAGGAGGAUGAGGAGGAAGAGCUCGGGAGGCUGUCUCGUCAGCUAGAGAGUUUAGCUAUAGGAGAAGGGAACAGAAAUAAACA